GUGGGGAAUAUUGGGCAAUGGGGGAAACCCUGACCCAGCAACGCCGCGUGAGGGAAGAAGGUUUUCGGAUUGUAAACCUCUGUCCUUGGUGACGAAGGAAGUGACGGUAACCAAGGAGGAAGCCCCGGCUAACUACGUGCCAGCAGCCGCGGUAAUACGUAGGGGGCAAGCGUUGUCCGGAAUGACUGGGCGUACAGGGCGUGUAGGCGGCCGAUUAAGUCUGGAGUGAAAGUCCUGCUUUCAAGGUGGGAAUUGCUUUGGAGACUGGUUGGCUUGAGUGCGGAAGAGGUAAGUGGAAUUCCCAGUGUAGCGGUGAAAUGCGUAGAGAUUGGGAGGAACACCAGUGGCGAAGGCGACUUACUGGGCCGUAACUGACGCUGAGGCGCGAAAGCGUGGGGAGCGAACAGGAUUAGAUACCCGAGUAGUCC
This 428-nucleotide ribosomal RNA is filed under the name uncultured bacterium. RNAcentral describes it as "partial 16S ribosomal RNA". It matches the Rfam family "Bacterial small subunit ribosomal RNA", at positions 354 to 796 of the family's 1533-position model. The record is from RNAcentral.